RNAcentral lists this ribosomal RNA (783 nucleotides) under uncultured bacterium. RNAcentral's name for it is "bacterial SSU rRNA". It matches the Rfam family "Bacterial small subunit ribosomal RNA", at positions 8 to 796 of the family's 1533-position model. The record is from RNAcentral.
AGAGUUUGAUCCUGGCUCAGGACGAACGCUGGCGGCGUGCUUAACACAUGCAAGUCGAACGGUAAGGCCCUUCGGGGUACACGAGUGGCGAACGGGUGAGUAACACGUGGGUAAUCUGCCCUGCACAUCGGGAUAAGCCUGGGAAACUGGGUCUAAUACCGAAUAGGACCACAGGACACAUGUCCUGUGGUGGAAAGCUUUUGCGGUGUGGGAUGGGCCCGCGGCCUAUCAGCUUGUUGGUGGGGUGAUGGCCUACCAAGGCGACGACGGGUAGCCGGCCUGAGAGGGUGUCCGGCCACACUGGGACUGAGAUACGGCCCAGACUCCUACGGGAGGCAGCAGUGGGGAAUAUUGCACAAUGGGCGAAAGCCUGAUGCAGCGACGCCGCGUGGGGGAUGACGGCCUUCGGGUUGUAAACCUCUUUCACCAUCGACGAAGGUCCGGGUUUUCUCGGGCUGACGGUAGGUGGAGAAGAAGCACCGGCCAACUACGUGCCAGCAGCCGCGGUAAUACGUAGGGUGGGAGCGUUGUCCGGAAUUACUGGGCGUAAAGAGCUCGUAGGUGGUUUGUCGCGUUGUUCGUGAAAUCUCACGGCUUAACUGUGAGCGUGCGGGCGAUACGGGCAGACUAGAGUACUGCAGGGGAGACUGGAAUUCCUGGUGUAGCGGUGGAAUGCGCAGAUAUCAGGAGGAACACCGGUGGCGAAGGCGGGUCUCUGGGCAGUAACUGACGCUGAGGAGCGAAAGCGUGGGGAGCGAACAGGAUUAGAUACCCUGGUAGUCC